Molecule: small RNA, 579 nt
Filed under: Pongo abelii (Sumatran orangutan)
Lineage: Eukaryota; Metazoa; Chordata; Mammalia; Primates; Hominidae
Description: processed transcript
Source: RNAcentral
ACUGAUGAGGUGGAACCAAAGCUGUUCAGCAGAAGAAAGCAACCACAGAGCAGCCUGUUGGGUGGAGGGCUUGAGGGUUCCUAAAAUCCGAGGACUUUCUGUGAUCCGUACGUGAAACUUUCAUUGUACGUAGCGGAUGAGAAUAGAGAACUUGCUUUGGUCCAGACAAAAACAAUUAAAAAGACGCUGAACCCAAAAUGGAAUGAAGAAUUUUAUUUCAGGGUAAACCCAUCUAAUCACAGACUCCUAUUUGAAGUAUUUGAUGAAAAUAGACUGACACGAGACGACUUCCUGGGCCAGGUGGACGUGCCCCUUAGUCACCUUCCGACAGAAGAUCCAACCAUGGAGCGACCCUAUACAUUUAAGGACUUUCUCCUCAGACCAAGAAGUCAUAAGUCUCGAGUUAAGGGAUUUUUGCGAUUGAAAAUGGCCUAUAUGCCGAAAAAUGGAGGCCAAGAGGAAGAAAACAGUGAGCAGAGGGAUGACAUGGAGCAUGGAUGGGAAGUUGUUGACUCAAAUGACUCGGCUUCUCAGCACCAAGAGGAACUUCCUCCUCCUCCUCUGCCUCCCGGGUGGGAA